Molecule: long non-coding RNA, 1315 nt
Filed under: Serinus canaria (Common canary)
Lineage: Eukaryota; Metazoa; Chordata; Aves; Passeriformes; Fringillidae
Description: lncRNA (ENSSCAG00000001268.1)
Source: RNAcentral
CGCCCGCAGGGGGAGCCCGAGAGCCCGGAGCGGGACCGGGAACGGGACAAGGACAAGGACAGGGACCGGGAUUGGGAUGGGGAUGGGGAUUGGGACAAGGAUCGGGACAGGGAUGGGGAUGGGGAUGGGAACCGGGACAGGGAUCGGGACAAGGACAGGGACAGGGAUGGAAACCGGGACAGGGACUGGGACAAGGACAGGGACAGGGAUCGAGUCGGGAACCAGGACAGGGACUGGGACAAGGACAGGGACAGGGAUCGGGAUGGGGACCAGGACAGGAAUUGGGACAACGACAGGGACAGGGAUUGGGAAAGUGAUCGGGACAAGGACAGGACUGGGAUCAGGAUGGGACUGGGACAAAGACAGGGACAGUGAUCAGGACAAGGACAGGGACAGGGAUUGGGAUGGGUCGGGACAAGGCCUGGGAUAAGGACAGGGAUCAGGAUGGGAAUCGGGACAGGGAUAGGGGCUGGAAGGAUGGAGAUGGUGAUGGGGAUGCAAACCAGGAUGAGGACAGAGAGCAGGAGAGGUACAGUGACAGGGAGCAGGGACCAAGACUGAGACAGGGACAAGGACCAUGUCCAAGCUGGACACUUGGACAGAGCAGGGACAAAGAAGGUGGUGGGGACAGAGACCAGGAUGGACACCAGGAAGAGGGCAGGGACCAGGAGAGGGACAGGGACGGGGAAUUGGGACCAGGAUGGAGAUCUAAACACGGACAAGGGCUGAGACUGGGAUGGGAACCAGCAGUGGGACAGGGAUGGGGCAGGGACAAGGACGAGACCAGGAUGGGAACAGAAGCAGGAACCAGGUGGAAAACAGGAACAAGGAGAGGCACUGGAAGAACAACAGGAAGUGGGAACAGCACGGGGACAAAGGCCAGGACCAGGACUGGGAUGGGAACAGGGAGAGGGACCAGGAGGAGGAUAGGAAUCAGGAGAGAAACAGGGGCAGGGACUGGGAAUGGGAGCAAGACAGCAACAAGCACUGGGACCAGAAUUGGAACAGGCAGCAACAGCAGGACAGGGACAGGGAUGGACUCAGGGACCAGAAAACCAACUGUCACCAGGAGAGUGACAGGGACAGGAACAGGCAUGGGGACACAGAUAUCCUCAUCCUCAUGUGUGGGUACAGGGACACAUGGGGACACAGGGACACGUGUGCUCUGGGGGAACAGGAACAUGGGCACCCACAGCCAUGGCACAUGCAGGGACAUGGGCACACCCCCACUCCAAGGUGACAUGGGCACCCCUGGGGGACAUGGACACACACCAACACCCGAGUGCCCAAAACACAACUGCCCCCUGCACCAGAC